ACUUGGUUGGCUCAGUCAGUAGAGCAUGUGACUCUUGAUCUCGGGGUCAUGAGUUCAAGCCCCAUGCUGGGUG
Mustela putorius furo (domestic ferret) is the source of this 73-nucleotide non-coding RNA. The record is from Rfam. NCBI's taxonomy places the organism in Eukaryota, Metazoa, Chordata, Mammalia, Carnivora, Mustelidae.